RNAcentral lists this ribosomal RNA (605 nucleotides) under uncultured fungus. RNAcentral describes it as "eukaryotic LSU rRNA". The stretch from base 235 to 388 matches the Rfam family "5.8S ribosomal RNA". The record is from RNAcentral. Lineage: Eukaryota; Fungi.
CUUGGUCAUUUAGAGGAAGUAAAAGUCGUAACAAGGUCUCCGUUGGUGAACCAGCGGAGGGAUCAUUACAGAGUUGCAAAGCUCCUGAACCCCUGUGAACUUACCUAUUAUCGUUGCUUCGGCGGGUGACUUUAGGCGGAUCCGCCUGCUUCUGUUCGCAGAAGCACCCGUCAGAAUCCCAUAAAACCCAGUGCUUUAGUGGCAUGUAUGACCAAAAGAAAAUUAAUGAGUCAAAACUUUCAACAACGGAUCUCUUGGUUCUGGCAUCGAUGAAGAACGCAGCGAAAUGCGAUAUGUAAUGUGAAUUGCAGACUUCAGUGAAUCAUCGAAUCUUUGAACGCACAUUGCGCCCGCUAGUAAUCUGAUGGGCAUGCCUGUUCGAGCGUCAUUUCAGACCUCAAGCCCUGCUUGGUGUUGGGUUUCUACGGCUCCUGUAGGCUCCAAAAACCAGUGGCGGGCUCGCUAUAAGUCCGAGCGCAGUACAUGUAUCUCGCUUGGGAAGUGUAGCGGGCUCCAGCUGCAGUCCCCCUCAAUUUACACCACAAGGUUGACCUCGGAUCAGGUAGGAAUACCCGCUGAACUUAAGCAUAUCAAUAAGCGGAGGA